Gasterosteus aculeatus aculeatus (three-spined stickleback) is the source of this 2796-nucleotide long non-coding RNA. The record is from Ensembl. NCBI's taxonomy places the organism in Eukaryota, Metazoa, Chordata, Actinopteri, Perciformes, Gasterosteidae.
CACAACAUAUUUUGACUAUAUUUUUCUUUUCUUUUUUUCAAAAUAAAAAUUUGACCUAAUAUUCACAUUUUUGGACAUCACAGAGUGAUUUCAUUCAUCAUUACUCCACUCUAAAAACACCAAAAGAAAACAUUUUUCACUCUCCUAUCGGCAGGUUAAAAUACACUUCAUAGUCCACAGAAGGUUUGGAUUUUGAGAGAGCCAGAGAAUGAGAGAGACCAGUUCUGAGCCUGUUAAUGUCUCUCCUCCAUUACCCAGCGUAACAUCAAUGAAUCUUUUGAGCAUCGCUAUCUUCAAAAGCCAACCCAGCUUUCUCCCCUCAGACGAGACUGUAAUUAUUCUACAUUUGCAUGAUAAGUGUGUCUGCCUGUGUACGCAUUUACGUAUGUAUGUAUGAGCGCUUAAACGCACAUUAGGUGCAGCCGGGCACGAGUUCCCGUCUUUUAUCUCUGGUGUGAAAGGCGGGAAGAGGCCUUUUUUUUUUUUAACUGUGGAGUCUGGAUCGCUGUCUCCUUGCUCUUCAUCUGAGUGUUCAUCAUUAGCCAGUGUCAGCCGGGUGGCUUUGAAGAGGAGUCAGGGCCUCUCUCGCCAUGCGGAAUAGUUCUGACACUCGGGCUCUUCCUUUCUGCGUGUCUGCGUGUGCUUCCGCUAGCGUUUUUCUAUAUCCCAAUCACGCUGUCCUUCCUGUUUAGUAUUUGUCAAAUGUUUUAAACACUUGCAUGUGAAGUGCAGCAAUAGCACUGCUUUGAAAAGACGCUCUACACCGGUUUAACAUGCCUUGACAUUCGCAGUGAUGCUGCGUGCGCUUUACAAGAGAGGAGUGUCUUUUGUGAAGAGUAGAAACAACCACGGCAUCUUUGGAAUGUUUUAAUAACGCCCCACGCUUCGCCGACCCUGUUGAUGGGAAGAUGCACAGAGAGUAAUGGGAGAAUGCAGGAGAAAACCUAAAUGGGGUAAACGCGCGUACAGCAUCUAUACGACGCCUCACGGGCCGAUGAACGCGUGUACGGAGUCAAGCAGACAGAGGAAGGUUUUUAGAUGUGUACCAUCUCCCAAGGCCUCAUUAGGUCCUGAAUAAGUGCGCGUGCGCCCGGGCGUGACUGCAUACUGACUGCUGGCUCCUCUCGGCGGGCAGCCAAGAGGCCUCGUCCAGCUUAUUGACUGUGCGUGCUGUGCUGCUUCACUCAUAGUCCACAACAAUAUGGAAAUAAUAGUAUAACAUAGACACAGUGACGCAGACUCACAAUCCAAGGCUCCUCUCGAUGUUCAGGUCGUCAGGGGCAACGAUUGUUGAUGAAUGACCCGUUGCCGAGCAUCAUAAUGUGCAUCAUUUGGGAACAUUAUCUCCAACUGGAGGAUGUUUAUUUUGAAUAAUUGAUGAUGUUAUUCAGACAAUGAGCCUUGGCUGGUUAGAAUAGAGGAAAAGAUGUACAAUUGAUCAAAGGGGCCGUCACUCAACUGCUUUCAGACGCGCUUUUACUCAGGAAUGUUUUCGCACAGCUGGAUUCCACCACGUUCUUGAAGCGAAUGAGAAUUUAUCUCGACUCACUGAAAGACUCUGCCGUCUUUAUUAUUAGACUCCUCAUCUUGACCAAAACCACAAACAUUUGUGUGGGGUAUUCUAGUUAUACAGUUGAGAUGAAAUAAGAUAUGUUCAAAAUCAAAGCACCAAGGAGGCAGAAACUGACUGACUAUUUUUCUCUAAUGUGGCUCAACUCAUCACACAUCCAGCCCAGUAUUCCUGGUCAUUCCAUUCGGCCAUUGUCCGAUGAUUCGUUGACCCUCCCCAUGAAUAAACCGAGGGCAUUGUUUUUUUUCUGUUGAGCUACGGCUACGUCCUCACUCCAAACCGUCACGUUUUCUCAUCCGGGCUUUUUGUUCUGAAUGUGAAGCCUCCAAGCUCAAGCUGAGAUUGCAUCUGACGACGUCAUCGGGGUUCUUUUCUCACCUCGAGCUUGACAAAGCUCUUCUGCGGAGCCAGUGACCUGACGGGGGCCGAGUGGGGCGGCUAAACUGACAUUUAGAACCAGCAGGGAACCUUUACAGAGGGGGCUCGAGGAGUGUGUCCCUCCGUGCAAAGGGUUCACUCCACUGGCGUCUGCAGGUUACACAAGACGCACGCGUCAGCGUCGGUAUCGGCAGUCAGCGUUGGGAGGGAUGUGAGCGAGACAUUACAUCAGGUCAAUAGUAAAGAUCCUAGCGGUCCAAAUGAGAGCGCCCCGCCCAUCACGCCAGCGCUGACAGCCUUAAUAACUGCCCUGAUGACAGCAGGGCAGAUUAAUAAAGCAUACUGUAAAUGAUUGCCUCCGUCGUGAAUCCAUCCCGUGGCUAUUUGAGGCUGCUCGUAUUAACUAUUAGGACAGGAGGUCAGAUUGAACACACAUGGAAGUGCGUUGCACGACCCUAUGAGCUGAUUAAUGUCAUUCUCAGGAAUAGAAACAAAUUACGCCGGCAGAUCAACGUCGGGCAUCUGACGAGAGACGGAAAAGAAAGAAAAAAAAUAAUAUUGAACCCGAGAAAUGAAAUAUUUGCACAGUGGAACCGACGUAAUCCCCCCGCUGCAGGUUUGAUAUGAAGCCCGGGCCUCUCAUUAGCUGCAUUUGGACCAGAUUGCAUCGGGUCCACCGAUUCAACUGGGAAAUCCAUCUCUAUAUUGCGUGCCCCCCACCAACCCCGACCCCCCCCAUGGCCACGCUGGGGGCUCAGCCGGUUAGAGAGCGGAUGAUGACAGAGCGGAUUCAGACUUAAUAAAUAAUAGAGCGUUACUGGAGGUAUCACCGAUGAAGAGAGUCUGCC